CCUACGGGAGGCAGCAGUGGGGAAUAUUGCACAAUGGGGGAAACCCUGAUGCAGCGACGCCGCGUGAGUGAAGAAGUAUUUCGGUAUGUAAAGCUCUAUCAGCAGGGAAGAAAUAAAGUCCUUCGGACUUUGGACGGUACCUGACUAAGAAGCCCCGGCUAACUACGUGCCAGCAGCCGCGGUAAUACGUAGGGGGCAAGCGUUAUUCGGAUUUACUGGGUGUAAAGGGAGCGUAGGCGGCAGCGCAAGUCUGGAGUGAAAUCCCAUGGCUUAACCAUGGAAGUGCUUUGGAACCUGUGCAGCUGGAGUGCAGGAGAGGUAAGCGGAAUUCCUAGUGUAGCGGUGAAAUGCGUAGAUAUUAGGAGGAACACCAGUGGCGAAGGCGGCUUACUGGACUGUAACUGACGUUGAGGCUCGAAAGCGUGGGGAGCAAACAGGAUUAGAUACCCUUGUAGUC
RNAcentral lists this ribosomal RNA (457 nucleotides) under uncultured bacterium. RNAcentral's name for it is "partial 16S ribosomal RNA". It matches the Rfam family "Bacterial small subunit ribosomal RNA", at positions 338 to 795 of the family's 1533-position model. The record is from RNAcentral.